GGUCUCGUGGUGUAGUGGUUAUCUGUCUAACACACAGAAGGUCGGCGGUUCGAUCCCGCCUGAGAUCA
RNAcentral lists this transfer RNA (68 nucleotides) under Caenorhabditis remanei. It matches the Rfam family "tRNA". From Rfam's summary of the family: Transfer RNA (tRNA) molecules are approximately 80 nucleotides in length. Their secondary structure includes four short double-helical elements and three loops (D, anti-codon, and T loops). The record is from Rfam by way of RNAcentral. Lineage: Eukaryota; Metazoa; Nematoda; Chromadorea; Rhabditida; Rhabditidae.